GAUGAACGCUGACAGAAUGCUUAACACAUGCAAGUCGAUUCAAAGUUCCCUUCGGGGAAUGGAGGAUGGCGGACGGGUGAGUAACGCGUAAGGAACUUGCCUUUUGGCCUGGGACAACUGUUGGAAACGACAGCUAAUACCGGAUAUUAUGAGAUUCUCGCAUGGGAAACUUAUGAAAGCUAUAUGCGCCAAAAGAGAGCCUUGCGUUCCAUUAGCUAGUUGGUGGGGUAACGGCCCACCAAGGCGACGAUGGAUAGCCGGCCUGAGAGGGUGAACGGCCACAAGGGGACUGAGACACGGCCCUUACUCCUACGGGAGGCAGCAGUGGGGAAUAUUGGACAAUGGACCACAAGUCUGAUCCAGCAAUUCUGUGUGCACGAUGAAGGUUUUCGGAUCGUAAAGUGCUUUCAGUUGGGAAGAAGAAAGUGACGGUACCAACAGAAGAAGCGACGGCUAAAUACGUGCCAGCAGCCGCGGUAAUACGUAUGUCGCAAGCGUUAUCCGGAUUUAUUGGGCGUAAAGCGCGUCUAGGCGGAAAAGAAAGUCUGAUGUUAAAAUGCGGGGCUCAACUCCGUAUUGCGUUGGAAACUGCUUUUCUAGAGUACUGGAGAGGUGGGCGGAACUACAAGUGUAGAGGUGAAAUUCGUAGAUAUUUGUAGGAAUGCCGAUGGAGAAGUCAGCUCACUGGACAGAUACUGACGCUAAAGCGCGAAAGCGUGGGGAGCAAACAGG
RNAcentral lists this ribosomal RNA (732 nucleotides) under uncultured bacterium. Its description in RNAcentral is "bacterial SSU rRNA". It matches the Rfam family "Bacterial small subunit ribosomal RNA", at positions 28 to 776 of the family's 1533-position model. The record is from RNAcentral.